AGAGUUUGAUCCUGGCUCAGAAUGAACGUUGAUGAUUAGCUUAACACAUGCAAGUUAAAAUUAUCUAUUGAGAAUUAGCGUACGGGUGAGUAAUACACAGAAAAUAAUAUCGAGAAUAAUACUUAAUAUAUGAAAAGAUUAAAUCGGCUUGAAAAUAGUCUGUGAAAGAUUAAGUAGUUGGUAAAAAAAGACUACCAAGCUUACAAUCUUUAGUUGGUCUGUGAGGAUGAACAACCACACUGGAAUUGAAAAAUGGUCCAGACUUUACUUUAAAGGCAGCAGUGGGGAAUAUUGGGCAAUGAGCGAUAGCUUGACCCAGCUAAAUCAUUUAUGUGAUUAAGGCUUAGCUGUAAAACAUAAAAUAAAUUUCAACAAUGAUGAAAUCUAGUGUAGUCCUGGCUAAUUUCGUGCCAGCAGCCGCGGUAAGACGAGAAGGGCUGACGUUAUUCAGAUUUAUUGGGCGUAAAGUAUAUGUAGACUGAAUAUUAAAUUUUAUGUUUAAAUAUUAAAUUUUAUGUUUAAAUUAAUUAGAAACUAAUAUUCUUGAGUUUGAAUGAAGACUGUAGAAUUCUAGAUGUAACGGUAAAAUGUAUUGAUAUUUAGAGGAAUCUCAAGUAGCGAAAGCAGCAGUCUAAUUUAAAACUGACGUUGAGAUAUUAAAGCAUGGGAAGCAAAAGGGAUUAGAUACCCCUGUAGUCCAUGCCCUGAACAAUGAGUGUUUAUUUUCCAAAAGAAAUUAAGUUAACGCUAAAACACUUCGCCUGGGGACUACGAUUGCAAAAUUAAAACUCAAAGGAAUUGACGGGGAUCUGCACAAGCAGUGGAGCAUGUGGUUUAAAUCGACAAUACGCGCAAAAUCUUACCAACUUUUGCAUUUUCACAGGUGUUGCAUGGCUGUCGUCAGUCCGUGCUAUGAAGCGUUUGGUUCAUUCCAAUAAACGGACAAAACUCUUUUUAGUUUUAGAACUGAAACCGUUAAAGAUAUUUUAAAGGAAGGUAAGAACGACGUCAAGUCCUCAUGACCCUAAUAAGUUGGGCUACUUUCAUGUGCUACAAUGAUUUUUUCAAUAAGAAGCAAUAACGAAAAUUAGAGUAAAGCUUUAACAAAAAUCAAUUACGGAUCAAUUUCUGAAACUCGAAAUUGUAAAGAUGGAAUUGCUAGUAAUCGUGAAAAAGAUUGUCACGGUGAAUCCGUUCUCAGAUCUUGUACACACCGCCCGUCACGCUAUGGAAAUUUAUUUUAUUGGAAAAUAGUAACUAUUUAAGAUAAAAAAAGGACUGAAGUGAAGUCGUAACAAGGUAGCCGUAGGGGAACCUGUGGCUGGAUUAUCAUAUACAAAUUCUACUACUCU
RNAcentral lists this ribosomal RNA (1352 nucleotides) under Gelidiella fanii. Its description in RNAcentral is "SSU rRNA". It matches the Rfam family "Bacterial small subunit ribosomal RNA". Lineage: Eukaryota; Rhodophyta; Florideophyceae; Gelidiales; Gelidiellaceae. The record is from RNAcentral.